UUUUAAAAUAACAAUUUUUUAAAAAAAAAUUCCAAAAAUAAUAGCAGAGGAGGAGGGUUUAGAUUUGCUUAAACCCUAUUGUCUUACCAAUUCAAAUUAUCAAAAAUUUGAAGAUGAAGAUAGCUGUAGAGGGGUGUAUGCAUGGAGAUCUGGACAUCGUCUACCAAACAAUCCAACACGUGGAAAGAUUGAACGGCAUCAAAAUCGACCUUCUCCUCUGUUGCGGCGAUUUCCAGGCUGUGAGGAAUGCGAGAGACAUGGAGAGCUUAAAUGUGCCGCCGAAAUAUCGCGAGAUGAAGUCGUUCUGGAAGUACUAUUCGGGCCAAGAAGUCGCUCCGAUUCCGACCAUUUUCAUCGGCGGGAACCAUGAAGCUUCCAAUUAUUUAUGGGAACUAUAUUAUGGAGGAUGGGCAGCCCCUAAUAUAUACUUUCUGGGAUUUGCUGGGGUGGUCAAGUUUGGCAAUAUACGUAUAGGUGGCCUUUCUGGGAUAUAUAGCGCGCGAGAUUAUCAUUUAGGACACCAUGAGAGGCCUCCCUAUAAUGAGAGAACUAUAAGAUCUGUAUAUCACGUUCGUGAGUAUGAUGUCCACAAACUCAUGCAAGUUGAGGAACCCAUUGAUAUUUUUCUUUCACAUGAUUGGCCUCUUGGCAUCACUGAUUGUGGGAACUGGCAGCAACUAGUUAGACAUAAACGACAUUUUGAGAAUGAGAUUCGGGAAAGAACUCUUGGAAGUAAAGCAGCUGCUCAGCUACUGGAAAAAUUGAGGCCUCCUUAUUGGUUUUCGGCUCACUUGCACUGCAAAUUUGCUGCUGUUGUCCAACAUGGGGAAAGUGGCCCAACGACAAAAUUUCUUGCACUUGAUAAGUGUCUUCCACGGCGCAAAUUUUUGCAGAUUAUUGAUAUUGAAUCAGAGCCUGGACCUUAUGAGAUUCAAUAUGAUGAAGAAUGGCUGGCAAUAACCAGGAAGUUCAACCCUAUAUUUCCGUUAACAUUUAAAAAUGCAAAUUUUGGUGGUACACAGCUCGAGAUGCAAGAUUGUCAACAAUGGGUUAGGAGCCGGCUACAAGCUAGAGGGCCCAAACCUUUUGAAUUUGCACAGACCGUUCCUUCUUUUGAUCCCAGCCAACCUGACUCAAAUAAUUCCUACUUUGAUUAUCCUAGGAAUCCUCAAACAGAGUCUUUGUUGCAGCUUUUGGAACUUCCUUAUCUUCUUGACAGUGUAUCAGAAUCAAGAGUACCAACUCAUGGUCCCACCCCAUUAAUUCAAGGAGCUGGCAAAGCGUACUUGCAACAGCAGGAUCUGAAUUUUAGUUGUUCUCUAUUAUUGGUAUUAUUAUUAUUUAGUUUAUUUGAAUGGAAACAGGAAUUGAUCUCCUAUACUGGAAGAAGUUGGGAAUACCUGACAAAUUUCUUCAGCAUGAAAGUUCUUCUGUUGAGUAUAGUGAAGAAAUUCCCAUAGAUGAUGCGGAUGAGGUAGAAGAAUUUGCAGAAAUUGAUGAUGUGGAAACUGGAAAUGAGUAAUUUGGGAACUCGCACAAGGCUAGUAAUUCAAGGAACAGAUUGUAGCAACUGGGGCCUUAAUUGAACUGACUUGUAUUGGAUUAAAUUAUCAAUGCAGCCAGGAAAGGAGGUGAUGAUAUUGUUAUUCUAUUCUAUGAUGCUGAAUGAGAAGAAUGAGGAUUGCAGCCAUUGAGUUCUAGAUGCAAAAGGAGAUGGUUCACCAACUCAUCUGCCACAAGUGAUGGCUGAAGGAACCCAUGGGGAAGCAUGAAGUCGUGUUCAAGGUGUUGUAUUUUGCUGUCCCAUGCAAAUGAUGAUUUUGUGGUGGGCAUAGAGUAGAAACUGAAGAUAAUACUUGUUGCUCAAAUUACCAGCCCAGUAGUUCUUACUUCUUAGUCAUGUUAGUUUACUGUGCGUGUUUUUCAACUAUUAUUGAAUACCAGUGUUUCAUUGAUUAGAAUACUAUAUCUCCUGUAAGUACCAUUGAGUGUUAUAUUUAUGUGAUUCAAAAUGAUUUAUGAAAGACAGCAUCCCUUCCA
RNA transcript from Hevea brasiliensis (rubber tree), 2040 nucleotides. It is a transcript of the gene named lariat debranching enzyme, with no coding region annotated. Lineage: Eukaryota; Viridiplantae; Streptophyta; Magnoliopsida; Malpighiales; Euphorbiaceae. The record is from RefSeq and is a predicted model, not a curated record. The transcript has 11 exons.